GAUGAAAACGCAGCGAAAUGCGAUAAGUAAUGUGAAUUGCAGAAUUCAGUGAAUCAUCGAAUCUUUGAACGCAUCUUGCGCUCCUUGGUAUUCUGAGGAGCAUGCCUGUUUGAGUGUCAUUAAAUUCUCAACUACACUGACUUUGAAUUGGUGUGGCUUGGAUUUGGGGGGAAAAUUGUUGUGGGCUUUUUGUAUAGUCUGCUCCCUUGAAAUUGAUUAGCGGUACCUUUGUGGAACUGUCUACAGGUGUGAUAAUUAUCUACAUCUUAGACAUCUGCUGGAAUGCUGCUUUCUAAACCUUACUUGUAUUGACAAUCUUGACCUCAAAUCAGGUAGGACUACCCGCUGAACUUAAGCAUAUCAAUAAGCGGAGGA
Molecule: unclassified non-coding RNA, 375 nt
Filed under: soil metagenome
Description: partial contains 5.8S ribosomal RNA, internal transcribed spacer 2, and large subunit ribosomal RNA
Rfam family: 5.8S ribosomal RNA (bases 1-119)
Source: RNAcentral